AAAAUGGCCCUUUUCAGGGCCAAUUCACAUGAAAGAGUAUUCUUUA
Molecule: non-coding RNA, 46 nt
Organism: Culex pipiens (northern house mosquito)
Lineage: Eukaryota; Metazoa; Arthropoda; Insecta; Diptera; Culicidae
Source: Rfam